This 1359-nucleotide long non-coding RNA is filed under the name Homo sapiens (human). Its description in RNAcentral is "HSALNT0167378". The record is from RNAcentral. Lineage: Eukaryota; Metazoa; Chordata; Mammalia; Primates; Hominidae.
UCGCGCCGGCGCCGGCUCCCCAGCCCAAGCCGGGCAGGGCCGGGCUUUAUUAAUAUGCUAAUUGUCCUGCUAGUGGGAGGGGAGAGCCGUGUCAAAGUGACCCGGGAGAGCGCGCAGCAAGCGACGACGUGCGUGCGCCGCGCGGCGGGCGGGCGGCGAGGGGCUGGGAGCGCUCGGGGAACGGCAUGCAUGUGACGCAGCUUUUAAAAAAGGAGACGGAGGCAGAGACCCCAGAGAGGGAGGGCGAAGGGGAGGGCUUGGAGGCGCAGCCGCGCGCUCGGUGUCCGUCCUCCGGGUGCCGCCGGAUGGGGAGUCUGGCUGAGCCGGAGCGGGAGCCGCGGCUGGGGGAGGCGGAGCCGGGGUGGGCAGUGUGGUGUAUCUCUCUCCACCCCGGGCCGCGCUCCGGGAGGGAAAAGGGACUGCAGACCCCCUGUCCGUGCUCCCUGCUGAGACGCCAGCCUUCUUCUGGAGGCCCCUUGUUUCGCGUCCCUACCCUAGGCUGGAUGGGUUUUUGCUGAGGGAGCAUGAAAUGAUGGAACGGUGCAGAGUCCAGGGAUUGAAAAGAAGGCCUGCCUAGGAAUGGAGACCCUCCCCACCAUGUGCUUAGGAUGGGGGAUAGGGGAGCUUGUACACUGUGGAGUCUCCCACCCCCAGGUUUCCCCAUCUCCACCCCCACCAGGAGCAGAGAGGACCUGACUGAAGCCAUCCACACUCACACAAGUAUUUCCUUGGCAGCAUCCCCUGCCUGAGUGCACCCCCUCCCUGCAUUCUCCCAGACAAAGGUCAGCACUAGAGGGAGUAGAGAGAACAUAAGGCAACAGAACACUGGCCCGAAAUUGUGGAUACCUAGGUUUGAACGCAAGAUUCGCUCCUCAAUACCUGAGUGAUUUGAGACAACUGACCACCCCACCUGGGACACUAGCUUUAUCCUCUGUAACCUAUGGCUUGGCCUUUUACACUUGCCGACUCAUUUACCUUUCAUGAGGACCUUUGGAAGAAGGUGCUAUUACCUCCAUUGAACAAGUAGGAAAACUGAAGUUCAGAGAUGAUAAUAAAUUUGAACUUGCCUGUAAAACACUGUUCUCCCUCUUCUUCACCUACUAGUUAAUGCUUCCUUAACACCUUAGUUCUAGCUUCACCUUCUCUGGGAAGAUUACCCUUCCCACUCCCACUGACACUAUAGCCCAGUUACCGGUAAGGAAAUACCAUCUCAGUACUGUUGAAUGGGUGGUUAAAAUAAGUGAUUGGGGCUCCUACAGGAACUCCAUUUAGGCAAGUUAGUUAACUUUGCCAAGGUAACAGAGCUAACAAGCACUUGACCCAUUGCUCCACUCCUUGCCUUACUUCUAGUGUGGAUCA